This 1336-nucleotide long non-coding RNA is filed under the name Anas platyrhynchos platyrhynchos (common mallard). Its description in RNAcentral is "lncRNA (ENSAPLG00000020168.1)". The record is from RNAcentral. Lineage: Eukaryota; Metazoa; Chordata; Aves; Anseriformes; Anatidae.
AUGCAAACAGCUCCCUGUCUUCCAAGCCUUCGUAUUUACCCCUUCUUGCAAACCUCUGCUGGAUGCUGCCUGUCCCUUCAAGCAGUAAGGGGCACUGCCACCUUAUAUGAAACGGGUGGCAUGAUAAUAUUGUUUGAUGCCAUAUUUUCUGUCCUGGCGUGUGCACACUUGCCCAUGUUGCUGCACUCCUGGAGCUGUGCGCUGAAUGAUGAUGAAGUGCCACUGACAGCGUCGCCUGGCAGCCCGAUGCAGGUUGAUGUGAGAUGUGUGCUCGCCUCCUCUGCUGGCUGCCCUUCUCUGAUGUCUCAGAAGGUCUUUGCUGUGAUGGCAGUGACUUCAGCCUCCAUUUUGAUGACCACAAUCUCAGAGCAUGUGUCCGCUGUGCAUUUCAGUUCACUGGCAGUGAGGAUGGAGCUGAGAUGCCAGAAGCAUUGGUAAGAAGCUCGCCUUACCUCAGUCUUCUCCUCGGUAUCUUGCUUUUGAAAUUCUGGGUUCAGGCUCAGGAAGAAAAUUAACACUUUAAUAGCUAGUGAAGACAUUCACUAUGGACAGACAUGGAAGAACUUAAUUCAAUUAGAGCAAAACAUUAGGCCUUUCAGACAGCUCUGUUCACCCCGGUCUGCUGUCGGAUCAUGGAGACAGCUUCCAUAAGCCACGGUGCACAUUGGUGGGACAUGUGCUUGGAGGGGGUGGCCUGAAGCCCUACUGCAGACAGUGUGUGUGAAAUAUAGAUAAAAUGGGGCACCACGUGGAAAAAGUAAAGCUUACCAGGCUCCUUCAUUAAUGUGUCCCAGUAAGGGUGAGCAUGACGAUCCUAGACUGACAUGGGGAGCUGUUUCUGUGACCUCUCUUCUAAAGUCCUUCAGUCAUCCACAGUGUAGAUCAGCUGGAACAUCAUUUGGGAACAAAGAACAACAUUUCAGAGCAGAAGAUCCUGAACUAAAGUCAUUGACUAAGUCAUUGUAGGACCAUGGUUGUACCUUUGUUUUUUUCCAUGUAGAUCAAUGGAAGAUGAUGAAACACUUCUGGUAGCGGUAUGCAUAGCCCAGGGAGAGAAGCAACAGGCUACAGGACAUAUGGGAUGAGAAGACUGGGUUCUUGGGGAAUUACACACCCAUCUGUGCCAUCAUUAAUGAGCAGGCAUUGUCUUAACUGGUUUGGGAGAGGAAGAAGGUGUAUACAUUGGUGCAGCAGUUAGCGUGGGAACCUGCUGAUGUCCGUCAAGAGGAAAAAGUCCUUGUCCGAGCUAGAAAAUCCAUGCAUGUUUCAAUAACAUCAGAAUCUAAGACGUGCUCAUCACAAUAAAUAUUUAAGUGAAUAAAAGAAUUGUUGUUAG